UGAGACGGACCCAAAUCCACCCGAAUUCAGCCCAAAAUCUGCCCCUCCCCCAUUGAGGGCUCAGAGGGGGGAGGGGAGCUGGGAACCCCCCACCCCAUACAUGGCUAUGGGGCUGUGGCUGCUGUGGCUGUGGGUGCACGUGGGGUGUGCGGAGGAGGAGACCCUGUUGGACACGAGGUUGGAGACAUCAGAUCUCAAGUGGACAGUGUAUCCAGAGGGGGAGGGGCAGUGGGAGGAGGUCUCAGCGCUGGACCCCGAGCGCGGAGUCCCCGUGCGCACGUUCGAGGUGUGCUCAGUGCUGCUGCCCCAUAGCCAGCCCCAUAACCAGCCCUAUAGCCAGCCCUAUAGCCAGC
Long non-coding RNA from Melopsittacus undulatus (budgerigar), 353 nucleotides. RefSeq lists it as uncharacterized. The record is from RefSeq and is a predicted model, not a curated record. The transcript has 3 exons. NCBI's taxonomy places the organism in Eukaryota, Metazoa, Chordata, Aves, Psittaciformes, Psittaculidae.